GGGGGAUAAAUUAAUUAAAUAUAAAUAAUAAAAAAAAUUUUAAUAUUAAUAAUAUAUGGGGUUAAAGUAUUUUUAAUAGAAAAAAUUUUUAUUUUUAUAGUAAAUUUAUACUGUAAGGGAGUUUUAAAAUAAAUGAAAAAAAAAAUUAUUAAAAAGUAAAUUUGAAUUAUUGUAUCUUGUGUAUCAGAGUUUAUUAAUAAAAAUAUUAAAUAAUUAAUUCUCGAAUUUAAAAGAGCUAAUUAAUUAAUAAAUUUAAUGUUGAAAAAUUAUUUUAAAUAAUUAAUUAGAAAUGAAAUGUUAAUCGUUUUUAAAAAUAUCUAGUUUUUUCAGAAAAAAAUUUAAUUUAAAAUAAAAAUAAUUUUAUUAAUUAAUUUAAUAAUUAUAAAAAUUUUUAUUUUAAUAUUUUAGGGGAUAAGCUUUAAAAUAAAUUUUUAUAAUUUAUUAAUAUAUUAAAUUAAAAUUUAUAAAAUUUAUAUUGUUUAUAAAUUAUAAUUUUUUAUAAAAAAUUUUAUUUUAAAUAAAAUUUUAUAUAAAUUUAAAUUUUUAUGAAAAAAUAAUUUUUAAUAAUAAAAAUUUAGAUAUAAUGAUAAAAUUAGUAUAUGAUAUAAAAUAAAAAAAAUUAAUAAGAUAAUAAUUAAAUUAAAGGAAUUCGGCAAAUAUAUAUAUUCACUUGUUUACCAAAAACAUGUCUUUUUGAUAAUAAUUUAAAGUCUAAUCUGCCCACUGAUAAUAAAAUUAAAGGGCUGCAGUAUAUUGACUGUACAAAGGUAGCAUAAUCAUUAGUCUUUUAAUUGAAGACUUGUAUGAAAGAUUUGAUGAAAUAUAAACUGUCUCUAAUUUAUUUAUAAAAUUUAAUUUUUUAGUUAAAAAGCUAAAAUAAAAUUAAAAGACGAGAAGACCCUAUAGAGUUUUAUAUAUUGAUUAAUUAAGAUUAAUUAUAAAAUUAUAUAUUUAAAUUAAUUAAUAUAUUAUGUUGGGGUGAUAAAAAAAUUAAAAUAACUUUUUUUUAAAAAAAAACAUAAAUAAAUGAUUAAUUGAUCCAUUAAUAAUGAUUAUAAGAGAAAAUUACCUUAGGGAUAACAGCGUAAUAUUUUUUUUUAGUACAAAUAAAAAAGAAAGUUUGCGACCUCGAUGUUGGAUUAAGAUAAAAUUUAAAUGCAAAAGUUUAAAAUUUUUGAUCUGUUCGAUCAUUAAAAUCUUACAUGAUCUGAGUUCAAACCGGUGUAAGCCAGGUUGGUUUCUAUCUUUAAUUAAUAAGUAAUAUUUUAGUACGAAAGGAUCAAAUAUUAAAAAUAAUUUUUAAAAUUGAAUAUUAAUAAAUUAAUUAA
This 1328-nucleotide ribosomal RNA is filed under the name Cyrestis thyodamas (common map butterfly). Its description in RNAcentral is "16S ribosomal RNA". The record is from RNAcentral. Lineage: Eukaryota; Metazoa; Arthropoda; Insecta; Lepidoptera; Nymphalidae.